This 391-nucleotide unclassified non-coding RNA is filed under the name uncultured Leifsonia sp. Its description in RNAcentral is "16S-23S ribosomal RNA intergenic spacer". Lineage: Bacteria; Bacillati; Actinomycetota; Actinomycetes; Micrococcales; Microbacteriaceae. The record is from RNAcentral.
CGGGUGUCCAGGCGCCGGAUCUGAGCGAACGUCUCAGCCGGUUAGCUCAUGGGUGGAACAUUGACAUUGGUGCGGAGCCGAACGGCUCGAACUCAGUACGCCUCCUCGGAGGAAGGAACGGUUCGGAUCACUAGGCGCCGCACAUGCACGCUGUUGGGUCCUGAGGGACCGGGCCUCAUCGAAUGAUGAGAACUGGACCUCUGGACCUUUUCUUGUCGGCAUCACUUGCCGGACGGAGAAGGUACCGCCCGUACUUUGAGAACUACACAGUGGACGCGAGCAUCUUAGAUUCGAACCUUCGGGUUCGGAUCACAAAAGAUGAUCUGAUUUAUUAGAUCAUUGGUCAAUCUGCUCAUCUUCGGAUGAGCCGAUCGAUUCAAACUCAUGUGAU